CAUUUCACAAGAACAUAUAUGGCUAUAAUAUAUCCUUUUUUUAAUUUCCAAUUAUUAAGGCCUAUAGGCACAUAGUUAUCUUCGGUAAAGUUAAAGCGACCUAGGCCUAGGCCUACUGAUACUGUACUACUACUAAUACUAGGGCUAGGCCCUAGGACUGGGCAUAGGCCUAGGGCCUGGCCGUAGGCAGGCUAGUUGAAGAUUGAAAGUAAGUAGGCAAGGCCUAGGACUUGCCAGGUUUAGGCCUGAUAGUGUACCAAGUUAGCUUAGCUAGGCUACUGCAAUGAAGAGCAGACAUUCAAGACCUGGCCAUCAACAUUUGGGAGCGAUACUUUGAUUACGAAAUAUAAAUGAAACGAUUUAUCCUCUCCUCUGCAUUUUGACACCUUUUCUAAAAGAAUCUGUUUUCCAACAAAAAACAAAACACGAAACUAAAAAAAAAAAAAAAAAUAAUGAUGUACGAAAAUGUGUAUAAAAAAAAAAAAAAGUACAUCAUUAAUCGAUUCCUUGCCUUGGCCUCAAACCUACAGGGGUAUAGACUGACACCAAACUCACCAUCAUAUCAUUUAUGAUUAGGAUAAAAAAGUUAUAUUAUUUUGAAUUAUUUCACAUCUGUUAACUUGUGAAUUUCUUUUUCCUGCACUCUCUCAAUUUCGUUUAUUGGCAUGCCCUGUUCCGGUUUUGGACCAAUUUAAAAAAAUAAAGGUGUCAAAAUACUGAAGACAAUACUUUUUCAUUAAGAUAAUUAUGUACAUUUGAUAUAAUUCACCCAUUUAUAGCCCACAAAUAAUAACUAGAGUUGCAAUCCCAUAAACCGAAUUCGAAAGAAACAUUUUCUACAUUGUUGCAAUGUUAGAGAAGUGAAGUGAAAAUACCUAAUAAAUUGAGCUUUUUCAGGAACUUAAUAUCUUUCAGUUGUCACCUUUUGGAUUUUAAAGACUAAAAUUAUAAGAUAUCUUCCAGUUUUCACUUUUUUUAUUUUAAAGACUAAAAUUUUAAGAUAAGGGAAGCAAAAUUACACUUUCAUUCAAAAUUUCCACAACUUUUUGUAUGUAAAAAUGAAAUCUGAACACUGUUUUAACAUAAUAAAUAUCCAUAGAUGUAUGUCAGUUAUUACAGAUAAUUAUGGAAACUGUUAGUGAUUCAUGUUUUCGAAUUUUGAUGAAAGAAAAACGUUUGGGAAAACUGGAUGAGCUUGGUUUGGUCCAUGAAGCAGAUCUUGCACUAGUUACGGAAGGAUGACAUUCUAAAGGCCAUAGAUGUGCACAAGUGUAGUACACAUUUUAUGAAAGCAAAAUGUGAACAAAAAACACUCCAGAAACUUUAUUCCCAUUUCAAGCCUAGGAGAUUUAUCCAGUCCAGAGCGAAACUCAAGUCAAGAAGAGUACCUUGAUCUUCUAUCACAGAAGACAUUUUUUGCCAACACUCCCAGAGCAAGGGAGUCACUUGGACACAGAAGCAUUUCAGUCUAUGAUAGUGGAAACAAUCCUGAUGAUGUCUACUGGAACAAGGUAGCUAAUCAAGUUAAAAAGUAUUUUCAGAAAGGGGAAUGACAACUACCUUCGUCAGAAAGAAUUAGCUGGUCCGAUAUUGUU
Anneissia japonica is the source of this 1595-nucleotide long non-coding RNA. RefSeq lists it as uncharacterized. The transcript is spliced from 3 exons. NCBI's taxonomy places the organism in Eukaryota, Metazoa, Echinodermata, Crinoidea, Comatulida, Comatulidae. The record is from RefSeq and is a predicted model, not a curated record.